UUUUCUUAGAGGUCUGUGUGUGGUGCAAUGGUAUUUAAGCUUGCCUUGCUUAGACAAACUUUUCUGUGCUCUUCCAGAGUCUUUGAGAAGGAACAGCUUCAGGACAGCUGGGACUUGUCUUCCAGAAUUUUUUCUGUGUGGCUCCAUGAUGAUGUGUGAAUGGUCUCCUGGAUCGCAACCCCGGUGGAGUUUGCAUCUGACCUGGCAUUAAAAGGAAGGACUCAUACUUGGCAUAUAUUCUUUCAGAUUAAAAUUGCAAAUGACUGGCAUGCUACAGAGAACCAUCCGCUACUACCAACUGCCAGCUUCCCCUAAAAUGUGCUGGGCUGCCUCAGAUGACACUUUAUUCCUCCUGGCUUCUCAAAACUACAGCCCCAGAUUGCUGCUUCCUACAGAGGAACUGGAUGAUGGAAUAAAAUUGGGAGACCACGUUCGCCA
This 438-nucleotide long non-coding RNA is filed under the name Struthio camelus australis. RNAcentral describes it as "lncRNA (ENSSCUG00000018803.1)". Lineage: Eukaryota; Metazoa; Chordata; Aves; Struthioniformes; Struthionidae. The record is from RNAcentral.